GCAUGAGAGUUACAAGGGGGUGAUUAAUUGCAGAUACAAACGCAUGUGAUGUACCUGUCACAGAAGUAUUGUAUUUGCCAUUAAUUUCCCUCCUGUGACUGUCGUGC
This is a non-coding RNA of Marchantia polymorpha subsp. ruderalis, 107 nucleotides long. Lineage: Eukaryota; Viridiplantae; Streptophyta; Marchantiopsida; Marchantiales; Marchantiaceae. The record is from the annotation of a GenBank genome assembly.